This 1064-nucleotide small RNA is filed under the name Arabidopsis thaliana (thale cress). RNAcentral's name for it is "ATSL080060". The record is from RNAcentral. Lineage: Eukaryota; Viridiplantae; Streptophyta; Magnoliopsida; Brassicales; Brassicaceae.
AAUCAAAUAGCUUUACUCCCUAAAUCAACAAUUUCGGAAAUUCAAUCGUCCAAAGUUUUGUUGGCGAAGAGGUUUGUAAGACAAUUCUCUAAAUUAACGACGAGGAAAGAGUGUCAAAUCCAUGAUGUAAUUGACGUGAACAUGAGACGAUGAUGCUAUGGAACAUUCAAGGAGGUCAUACCGGUGUUGUUUGGUUUACGAAUCUUGGUUAGUCAAAUAUCGUCGUCAAAAUCUGAUUUAACUCCUUGAGAUUAACUCUUACGUUUCCAAAUAUUGUCUAAUGCUCUACAUGAAAAUUUCUUAUGUUUUUUGCUUUUCAACUCUUGAUUCAUAUAUACCUAACUUUACUAUUAGAAUUCCAAAUAGGCUAGAAAUAAACUUCUAACCAAAAUUAAGUAGAUUUUCAUGACACGUUUACGUAUAUAUAUAUAUAUGGUGAUUUCAUUCACAUGCUUUAAGGAAGUGGUGUUGUGAUUCUACAAAGAUCAAAAAGAAAAAAAUCAAAAGAGGGUGCUCCCGUUUAACUUUAGGAUUAAGACCAUUGUAAACUUUGAGAUUCAAAGACAAAGAUGUUUUUCUAUGGAACUACUUUCAUAUAUUUGUUUGUUAAAAAAAAAAGUUUGUUCUCUCUUUCUCAAAUUCCUCUCUAAUUCUAUCACAACUGAAGAUGAAAUCCUCUCAAUUUAUACUUUUCUCAGGAUUCUGGUAUUGUAAAUAGGGGCUUUCAUAAGAAUGGGCACAUUAUGGCCCAAUAACUAGAGAAAGAGAACUUUUAGGAUGGGCUCAUGAAAAUAGGCAUAUAUUAAGCAAGGGAUUUGACCAGUUUGCCUUCGCUUCAGUUCAUGGUUUUGAUAAAUGAUAACGAUACUUCAUCGUCUUCAACAAAUUUCCCUGCAACAAAAAUUUCCCUCACUCAUUUCUCACUGCUGCACUUGCUUCAUGGACGCCAUAUUUGUCAACACCGUCACUUUUAAUUCCAUCAAAACACUAUCUCUUUCAUUUCCAACUCUCACCGCUACCAACACGUCUUCUCCGAUUAACUCGAUCAAUCAAAUUAAACGAUU